GUCCACGCCGUAAACGUUGGGCGCUAGGUGUGGGGUUCCUUCCACGAACUCCGUGCCGCAGCUAACGCAUUAAGCGCCCCGCCUGGGGAGUACGGCCGCAAGGCUAAAACUCAAAGGAAUUGACGGGGGCCCGGCCACAAGCGGCGGAGCAUGCGGAUUAAUUCGAUGCAACGCGAAGAACCUUACCAAGGCUUGACAUGCACGGGUAAGGUUCCAGAGAUGGUUCCCCGCCAAAGGUCCGUGCACAGGUGGUGCAUGGUUGUCGU
RNAcentral lists this ribosomal RNA (266 nucleotides) under uncultured bacterium. RNAcentral's name for it is "partial 16S ribosomal RNA". It matches the Rfam family "Bacterial small subunit ribosomal RNA", at positions 793 to 1055 of the family's 1533-position model. The record is from RNAcentral.